Long non-coding RNA from Neofelis nebulosa (Clouded leopard), 206 nucleotides. RefSeq lists it as uncharacterized. NCBI's taxonomy places the organism in Eukaryota, Metazoa, Chordata, Mammalia, Carnivora, Felidae. The transcript is spliced from 3 exons. The record is from RefSeq and is a predicted model, not a curated record.
CAGGAGAGGAUGGACAGAAGAGUAUAUGGUAGAAAGAAACAUACCGUGUACUCAAUCAAGAAAACUUGGAGAUCCCACCAAGAUCAGCCACACGUAAUUCACCCACUAGAUAUGACUUAAUACCCUUUGGGUGUGGUAACACAGAGGAGGAAUCUGCAACUGCCCAGUACACAGAGGGCAAGGAGAGAGGGAAGACAGAGGCAGGC